Sorghum bicolor (sorghum) is the source of this 866-nucleotide long non-coding RNA. RefSeq lists it as uncharacterized. The transcript is spliced from 2 exons. The record is from RefSeq and is a predicted model, not a curated record. Lineage: Eukaryota; Viridiplantae; Streptophyta; Magnoliopsida; Poales; Poaceae.
ACGAGAUUUGGCUACACAAUAAGUGCCAGCGAUGCCAUUAACUGUCGGCAAAAGUUUCGCCGACUGCUUCUACCGCGACUGUUUGUAAAUUGUCGGCAAAACCUUUUGUGAGACGUUAAGUAUCGGCAAAGGUACCCUUUGACGACAGUUGUAAGUGUCGGCAAAGCCAUGUUGUGUUAUAGUGUGAAUCGAUGUGGGGCAGAGGGCCAUCGGCGCUGAGUCGGUGCUUGUCGGCUGAAAUCGUCGCGGGGUAGGCGCAAGGUAGAGCUGAAUCUACGCACGGUGGGGCUUCGACGGGGUGCGACAGGGUGAAGUUGCCGGGCGAAAGGAGCCAUGCCUGCAAUGUAUCACUAAAGAAAGAAGGACGCCCGGGACUCUACCUCAUCUCUCUCUUCACGUACGCCGGCUGCAACCCAGUGACCACAAGGAAAUGAAUCAUUGAAUCUGCAGUAUCCGAUGCAGCUCACUGCACGGCUCGGGUGGUGUGUGGCUGGUGGCGGCGGCUCACUCAAGGAUGUGGGCAACAUAUGACGCAGCUUGUUGACUCGUGUAGGCGCAACAGCUUAGGGCUUGUAUGCCAGUGAGAAGGGAAGUAAGAAAGGGAUUGAGAAAAUAUGUCGCUUUCUUCCCUUUCAUUUGGAGAGAGGAGAGAUUUUGAGGGAUUCGGAAAAUUUUGGAGGGAAAGAGAAUUAAAAAGAGAAUUUGAUGGAGCUCUUUUGUACUUAAUUUUCUUUAUUGAUAGUUAUAUAGAAAGAGUGUUUGGCUAAGUUAGUAAGGUCUACUUGGUCUAGUUGUGAGUUAUGGAUAAGACAAUGUGACUAUGGGCUGAGCAUGUUCGCUUAUCUGAAAAAUUAUAGUUGAAAGUA